GUUAAGCGUACAUUAAGGAAAAUGAUGAUUGCUUUAGAGGAAGAAAGUUGGCUUUGUCAAAUGCCACCUCCUCAGUCCACACCUCAAGCAGUAACCUUUAUUGAUGAAUUACAAGAGGACCAACCUUAGCCCUCACAUAGAGCAGGACGACGUCGAUCACGUCCUGCUCGAGGUCGUCAACACCUAGUGCGUCGAGGCUCUCCACCCGAUGUUGUUUUGCCCCCACCUGUCGCAUUUCACCCUUACUGCAUGACAUCAGCGCUUGAUCCUUCUGAUCCUAUUCCCUCAACUCUUGCACCUUCUGAUCCGGGACCAUCCACAAUAUUCCAACCUUAUUAAGAAUCUAUCCUCCCUCAUUACACUGGUUGGAUGCCUUUUGACUAUACUGAGAGUCAGCAGUCGCAAACAUCAUUCAGCGGCUUAUUUGCUCCUUUUGGCAGACCAUCUACCAUUAAGCCAUCACACUAUAGUUCUAAUCAAUUUGGUGGAUAUAGUUCAGAUCAAUACUUUGCACCAUAUCAGUCUGGUGCCUUACGCCAUAUUCCAUCUGGUGCGGGUCUAUUUGGACACCACAAACAAAGUGUUGUACAUUAU
Molecule: unclassified non-coding RNA, 594 nt
Filed under: Hevea brasiliensis (rubber tree)
Lineage: Eukaryota; Viridiplantae; Streptophyta; Magnoliopsida; Malpighiales; Euphorbiaceae
Source: RNAcentral